Non-coding RNA from Tetranychus urticae (two-spotted spider mite), 4137 nucleotides. The record is from RefSeq and is a predicted model, not a curated record. Lineage: Eukaryota; Metazoa; Arthropoda; Arachnida; Trombidiformes; Tetranychidae.
CAUAAUAAUCAGCAAAGGUGAAUUGAUUAAUACGUCGAAAAUCAAUAAUCUAACAGAGAAAGAUUGAACUUGUUUUGUUAACCAAUGUAACAAGUUAGUUGAGUUAUUAGGUGAUCUGGACUAACAAUAAGUUAAUAGACGAUAAUGUUGAAACAGUUAAAAGGCCAGUUUAAGAUUAUAUUGUUAUGUUUUCUUCUAGUUAACAACCCAAUCCUCUCUGAUGGACAAGACUUGAAUGAAGUGUGCUACGAAAUUUUCGGUUGCUUCAAAUGGACUAGGUUCAUCUUUUUCACACCCGAUUCACCUGAAAAAAUUGGGGCAAUUUUCCGAGUCUACACUGCUGAAGAUCCCAUCGAAAGUCGGCAAAUAAAUUACCAUAAUUCCUCCAAUUAUGAUAUUUUUAAUGAAACAACAUCUGUAGUUUUCAUCAUCCAUGGUUGGCUAGAUAAUGGACAAGAGUCUCGGUAUACCAACUUGUUUACACCUUUACUAGCAAAAUAUGAUGUAGUGGUGUCAGUGGACUGGAGUAAGGCUGCAAGUGGCCUUCUUUAUCCUAAAAAUGUCGCUAACUGCCAAUUGACAGGACGAGAAAUUGGUUAUCUGUUGUAUCGUUUACAAACUGAACGGGGUCUUGAUCUUUCUCGAGUCCAUUUGGUUGGAUUUAGUCUUGGUGCUCACAUUGCUGGUCUUGCUGGUCGAUGGCUGAAGCAACAGUAUAGCUUGACUUUAGGUCGAAUCACAGGCUUAGACGCUGCUGGACCUUUUAUUGAUGGUACAAUAAUUCAAAUCAAAAAGUCUGAUGCAGUUUAUGUUGAUGGGAUCCAUACAAGCUCUGGAUCGAUUGCCAGUGUUGUUUUGGGCAGGUUAGGAACGAAAACACCUUUUGGCCACAAAGAUUUCUAUCCAAAUGGCGGAUCUGAUCAACCCUUUUGUCCAUUUCCAUUUCUCAAUAUGACUUGUCGCCAUUAUGCAGCAAUUGACUUUUUCCUUUCUUCAAUAAAUCAAUGUGAAUACAAGUCGACCAAAUGCGAAUCAUGGAAACAAUUCACAAGCGAUAAAUGUGAUGAGCCACACACCAUUGCAAGAAUGGGAUUGAAAAGCAAUGAAGAUUCAGGCGAAGGUUCAUUUUACUUGUCAACAGGAAAAGAUUAUCCCUAUUGUUAAAAAUAAAAAUAUUUACAGUGUUGGCAAAUAAUUUAUAAAUCACAAUUUUAUUUAUUUUCAAAAUUGGUCAAAAUUAACAAGAUUACUCUCAGUAAAUUGAAGCAUAAUAUGACCAAAGAUUGGCCCAAAAAGUGUAAGUUGAAGCGUCAAAAAUUUGUCGAAUCGUAACUUACCUUUGAUUUUUUGAUUUACCCAAAAAUUGUAUCUUUUCAUCAACAACUGCAAGAGUUUUCAUUCAUCUGUUAAAUAUUUCCUAUUCUAGAUUCAGAUCUAUGGUUGAAACCCUUCAUUAAAAGGUUUACUCAAACGUUGACGUUAUGUUAUUUUAUCGCAUAUCUUUUGAUGGUCAAUUGUAGGCUCAAUGCAAUAAUAAAACAAUUGUUACAGCUAUUAUUAAACAAAAUGGUUGAAAUAAAUUACAACUUUAAUAAUAAUCAAUUUUUAUAUGAUUUCAAGUCAAUUUUAAAUUUACUUUAUCCAUCUUAUUGGUAUUGCCAGCCGUUGCAACAAUCAAGGACUUCAAUCAGUUGAUUUCUUGUUUAAUGUCAUUUGUUCAUAAUCAGUGUCUGAUUGAUCAUGGUAUGAUUUUCAUUCUCAAAUCAUUCAAACUAAAUGGUUAACGUUUAAUCAUUAUUGAAUAAUUUUGUCCACCUCAAGGUAUUUGCCAGCUUGCAUAAGCUACCAACUUUCCUCCUUCCUUGAAGGUGUAUUAGUCAAAUAGUGCACCGGUUCAUUUUGAUUAAGAAUUGAUUAAUUAGUCAGUCCAGUCCUUUUUUGCUGUAUUUUACUGUUCCUUUAUACUGUGCUUUUGAUUGUCACAUCUUGGUAAGAGCAUGAAUUAACCUUAAUUAUGUCCAUCAUGGUUGAGGAAAAAAAAGAAAUGCAUUUUUCUAAAUGGAUGAGUUGUAUUCUUGAAUAAUUUAGACAAUUUUGCAAUUAAACGUGAACAAUUUCCAUUAUUUUACAAUUUAUUUUAACAUUUUGAACAAUCACAAUCAAUCUGUGUCAGUUAAAUUACCAAUUAUAGCCAGAAAAGACGUCAAAGUGAUCGUCUCUGUCGAUUCAAUAGCUACACUGUAGAUUUGUGCUAACACUAGUUCAACUUGAAACAUAUGGUUUGUAAGCAUUAUACAAUAUCUGAAAGUAUCUCAAUUCAAACUUAUGUAGUUGAAUAUUUUUGAAAUAAAAUGUGAACCGACACAAGAAAUAUCACUCAUUUUAAACAUUAAAAGAAAGCUUGGCUAAAAAUAAGCAAAGUGGUCAGUUGAAUGGAAAGUGUUGAAGCUCUUGGGCCCUAAAUACAAAGUCCAAAAUACAAAUGAAAUGAUAAAAUAGAGAUGAGCUCAUCGAUGACAUGGCUUAUCCAUCGUUGAAUUAUUAAUGAUCAAGAAAAAUAUGAAUGUCAAUAGACUGUCUUUUCUUUUAUCAAUGAUAACCUCUGGCAAUCUUGAAUAAUGGUUUAGGAUUCCCUUGCAAGAAAAGUCCUGUUUUUUGGUUAGCAAUAUUUAAAACCGGUUUUAAAUGGGUACAAAAGGACCUUUAGCAGGUUAGCAACUAGCACUAGAAAAAAAGGCAUUUUGUUAUUCCAUUUUCAUCUCUUACUUUUCUUUCUUAUUUAUCUUCCUCUUUGCCAUUUUUUUCUUCUCUCUUCCAUUGGAUCUAGACUUGCAUAAUACAGUUUGGAUUUAGGUAGAUAAAGCACAUAAAUCUCCAUUGGUUUCGUUUUUCUAUGUUAACCAAUCAUCUUUAACAGAGGUUGUGGUUCACAUUGUAGAUCAACACGUAGACAGAAAGACACCAAUCAAAACUGUUGUUUAAUAAUCUGGUAAUCAAAGAGAGGAAGAAAAAAGUAAAACAAGUAUUAUCAUCAGUGUACAACUAAAUCAAUAAAAGGCAAGUUAUAUUAAAGCAUGGUCCCUAAUCUCUUCCAUCAUCAGUUGCCACUGCGAGACUCAUCUCGGUUUAUUAAGAAUCACGCCUUUCGUAACCCCUCAUCACUUCGCUUCUAUUCAUCUUACCUUUAUUGUUGUUUUUCAGUUUUAUUCAAAUUAAUCACUAUUUGUUUAAUCACAAUGCCACUUACCAACGGUAUCACCUCAACUCCAUCUAACCAACAUCCUCAAAUUGGUAAACCGGCACCUGUUUUCAAGGGUACUGCCGUGGUAAAUGGAGCUUUCAAGGAAAUCUCUUUGAAUGACUACGCUGGAAAAUAUGUUGUCCUCUUCUUCUAUCCUCUUGAUUUUACCUUCGUCUGCCCCACUGAAAUUGUUGCUUUCAGUGAUCGAGUCAGGGAAUUCCAAGAUAUUGGAUGUGAAAUUAUUGCUUGCUCUACUGACAGCCACUUCACUCAUCUCGCAUGGGUCAACACACCUCGAAAACAAGGUGGUUUGGGAGAAAUGAACAUUCCUUUGUUGGCUGACAAAAAUCUUAGCAACUCUUUAAGCUAUGGAGUCUAUCGUGCUGAUGAUGGUAUCACUUUCCGGGGACUCUUCAUUAUCGAUGAUAAAGGUAUUCUUAGACAAAUCACCGUCAAUGACUUACCCGUUGGUCGAUCAGUUGACGAAACUUUACGAUUGGUCAAGGCCUUCCAAUAUACCGACCGUCACGGUGAAGUUUGCCCUGCCAACUGGAAACCCGGAGACAAAACUAUUGUUCCUGAUGUACAAUCCAGCAAGGAAUAUUUCUCAAAGGCUAACUAAUUUCCUUAGACUUUCCGACUCAAUUGUUAUAUCAGCCAAGUCAAUUUCCCAUUGACCUUCACUAGCUCAUUUUAAGUUGCAGUUUUUUUUGAGUCCACUACCCUAUUCAGGAACACAAUUCAAUGAUAGGUGGGCUAAUUUAGGGCAACCUGAUUCCUUCCUUCUACAAUUGCUGUCUUUGUCCUUUACUCGGUUUUUAAUUGUUAUCACUACUAACUUUAAUUUUCAAUGUUCACAAAAGUGAAUCAGAUUUAAAUAAAAAAAUUAAAUUAAA